CAUCUCCCACUCUACAGGCCUCUCCCCCGCGCGCUGGGGCCUCCCGUUCCCGCGUGUGAGCGAACCUCUUAGGAGGUUUGCUUUCCUUCUGGGCGAGGCUGAGCGACGUUGCCAAGACCAACACGAACUUCUCUGGACAGCAGACCAGGGUGCGAACAGCAGCCCUGCCGCUUCCUAGCCUGUGACAUUCGCCAGAGUUCCGUAGUCCCUCAGCCUCAUCGCCCCAUCCAUAAAAUGGGAAAGCGAACCGUAAAAAGAAUGUGACCAAGCACGGGACCUCUGUUUGUCAUUGAAUAGAAAAGUACCCACGACACUCUGGUACCUACAAAAGACGUCCGCCCACUGGAGCGUUCGUCAGCCCAUCUGAUCCAUGUCACUCGACACAUACAGCACGGAGUGCUGUGCUGGGCACAGGCGUGCGGGCUGGUGAACCAUUCAUGGGACGUAAACCCACACAGACCUGGUGCAGACCUCAGCUUCUUCUGUGCCUGUAGAUUUGAUCUUGGGCGUGUCAGCCACUUAUCCCUCUGAACCAACUCCUUCUCUUGAGCUCCCCAUCUCAGCCAUGGCAUCAUCAUCAUCCCCUUCCUGUGCCAGCUCAGAACCUAGGAAUGGUUUUAUUCUCCGCAUUAACCCUCUCCCUAAUGUCCCAUCAACCCCGAGUGAUGCAUGAGUCAGCUCCUAGAUCUGUCUUGAAUGUGUCUUCAGCGUCCUCUCCAAUCCAUUCAACAGGUAUUCAUAGAGAGCCUGCUCUGUCCCAGGCUCUCUGCUGGACAAGAGCACCUGUCCCCAAGGAGCUCCCUGACUGGUUGGGUACACCCAGAAACAUCCACUUUUCCU
Molecule: long non-coding RNA, 840 nt
Filed under: Equus caballus (horse)
Lineage: Eukaryota; Metazoa; Chordata; Mammalia; Perissodactyla; Equidae
Description: lncRNA (ENSECAG00000047710.1)
Source: RNAcentral